AAGCUGUGUAGUAUAUUUAAUACGUAAAGUUGCAAACUUUAAAAUAUUUUUAAUCUCGGCU
This 61-nucleotide transfer RNA is filed under the name Phyllodiaptomus tunguidus. RNAcentral's name for it is "tRNA-Thr". The record is from RNAcentral. Lineage: Eukaryota; Metazoa; Arthropoda; Copepoda; Calanoida; Diaptomidae.